CCUACGGGUGGCAGCAGUGAGGAAUAUUGGUCAAUGGGCGAGAGCCUGAACCAGCCAAGUCGCGUGAAGGAUGACGGCCCUACGGGUUGUAAACUUCUUUUGUCAGGGAGCAAUUGAGUCCACGUGUGGGCUUAGCGAGAGUACCUGCAGAAAAAGCAUCGGCUAACUCCGUGCCAGCAGCCGCGGUCAUACGGAGGAUGCGAGCGUUAUCCGGAUUUAUUGGGGUUAAAGGGUGCGUAGGCGGAAUAUCAAGUCAGCUGUAAAAAUUCGGGGCUCAACCCCGUCGUGCCGUUGAAACUGAUGUUCUUGAGUGGGCGAGAAGUAUGCGGAAUGCGUGGUGUAGCGGUGAAAUGCUUAGAGAUCAUACAGAACACCGAUUGCGAAGGCAGCUUACCAAGCUACUUCUGACGUUGAGGCACGAAAGCGUGGGGAGCAAACAGGAUUAGAUACCCCUGUAGUC
RNAcentral lists this ribosomal RNA (460 nucleotides) under uncultured bacterium. RNAcentral's name for it is "partial 16S ribosomal RNA". It matches the Rfam family "Bacterial small subunit ribosomal RNA", at positions 338 to 795 of the family's 1533-position model. The record is from RNAcentral.